RNAcentral lists this long non-coding RNA (589 nucleotides) under Taeniopygia guttata (zebra finch). RNAcentral describes it as "lncRNA (ENSTGUG00000021596.1)". Lineage: Eukaryota; Metazoa; Chordata; Aves; Passeriformes; Estrildidae. The record is from RNAcentral.
UGUGAUUCGCUGUCCAGCAUUACCUUUAUGCAGAAGAUGAAGCAGCAGAGGAAUUGGGAAAAGUACAUCUUCACAUUCAGCUGGAAAUGUGGAAAGGCAGAAAACAAGUCAGCAAGCUACUUUGUUUUCUUCAAAAGGGGAAAAAAGUCCCAUAAAGAAGAAAGCUUUGCUUGGUUUCCAGGAUUGCCCACCCAGGAGAACUAAAAGGGCAGUGAAAAUAGAAGUAUCCUCACCAACAGAAGAGAAAAGACUAAAGGUAGCAUCUCUGGUCUGUGUUCAUGUACAGACUAGGACCUGGAGGGGACUGUUUGGUUUUGAUUUUUAAGGAAACUGUAAGGCACCGCAGUUAGAAUCUCAUAUUUGAAGUGCUUGUCAAGAACAUAGUCCUCCUUAAGGGUAAUAUUAAUACUUCAUUUGAAAGUCCUUACCUGUGUUAUGAACAAUGUUUUAGAGGAUGACAACAAUGGUUUAACACAAUUAAUUUAUUUUGUAAUUUUUGUGAGUUUAUUAGUUUUUGCUUCUUUCAGUCUGCUAAUAAAAAUAUGUACGUUUUUAUUUUACUUGUAAACAAUUACAUGUUCCUUGUUUG